This 460-nucleotide ribosomal RNA is filed under the name uncultured bacterium. Its description in RNAcentral is "partial 16S ribosomal RNA". It matches the Rfam family "Bacterial small subunit ribosomal RNA", at positions 338 to 795 of the family's 1533-position model. The record is from RNAcentral.
CCUACGGGGGGCUGCAGUGAGGAAUAUUGGUCAAUGGACGGAAGUCUGAACCAGCCAUGCCGCGUGCAGGAAGACGGCUCUAUGAGUUGUAAACUGCUUUUGUACAAGGGUAAACCUGAAUACGUGUAUUCAGCUGAAAGUACUGUACGAAUAAGGAUCGGCUAACUCCGUGCCAGCAGCCGCGGUAAUACGGAGGAUCCAAGCGUUAUCCGGAUUUAUUGGGUUUAAAGGGUGCGUAGGCGGAUUGGUAAGUUAGAGGUGAAAUGUCCGAGCUUAACUCGGGAACUGCCUCUAAUACUGUUGAGCUAGAGAGUAGAUGCGGUAGGCGGAAUGUAUGGUGUAGCGGUGAAAUGCUUAGAGAUCAUACAGAACACCGAUUGCGAAGGCAGCUUACCAAUCUAUAUCUGACGUUGAGGCACGAAAGCGUGGGGAUCAAACAGGAUUAGAUACCCCAGUAGUC